UGGGGAAAACAAAAAAGCUAGCACUGGG
RNAcentral lists this non-coding RNA (28 nucleotides) under Rattus norvegicus (Norway rat). Lineage: Eukaryota; Metazoa; Chordata; Mammalia; Rodentia; Muridae. The record is from RNAcentral.